This 1952-nucleotide unclassified non-coding RNA is filed under the name Zea mays. RNAcentral's name for it is "misc RNA Zm00001eb171890". Lineage: Eukaryota; Viridiplantae; Streptophyta; Magnoliopsida; Poales; Poaceae. The record is from RNAcentral.
CCUACAUAUGCGGACCAUUCUCUCACAUUCUCCAAAACGUGAGCUAGUUCGCACCACACGAGAGCACUACACUCCAGCAACUUGUAGUUUUGCAUGGUUGUGUUCUAUAUAUGUGACAAAAAUAAAUCUUGACCAAGGCACUAUUUUAGCAUAUAUUCAACCAUAACAAAAACAGCUGGAUUUUUCGAACUCAGAUGCAAACAUGUCACAAUAAGGGAUUCAAUUUUUUAAUUCAAAUGCAAACAUGUUACACUUAGAUUUGGGGCUUGUUUGAGAUCUUGCUGGAGACGAAAAAAUCACUACGCGGGACAAUCUUUGCACAUUGCAGGGAUUUGUUUUAUACGACGUACAGAUAUGGGAGAAGUUAGUUUUGAGUACAACAUGAAUUUACUUUACCUUGCCUUGCAGGGAUUAAUCCUAGAUCAAACUCAUCUUCUGGUACAGAGGAUACAAACAAGGAACUGCUUUGCUAGCUUCUUCCAAACAAUUCUGCAUGCUAUGCCAAUCGUUCUGUCUCUGUCUCUCUCUCUAAUAACAAUGACAAGAAUCUCAAGUAGCAGUUCAAUCAAUCUGUGCAUGCUAUGGAGUAUGAACAAGAAUCAAUUUUGAUGGAAAGUUAGUCGGCGGUGAGAGUGAGACAUUCGAGCACCCUGGCCCUGUCAGGCUGGCAAUUUGCCCAGGUCAGCUACGUUGUUAGAUUAUAGUAUACGUGUGCAUGCAUGGCCAGGUCAGGUGCCGAGGUGUUGCUGCAGCUUGCUCAGAUCAGACGCCGUUGGAUCUCGGGCUGGCGCCGCCGUGUUGUGUGUCGACGUUGACGUACUUGCCCCAGAACCAGUGGCGGCUCCAGACGAGGUUCAUCUCCUCGAUGGGCACCCCCUUGGUCUCCGGCAGGAAGAGGGCGAUGAAGGUGGUCAUGAUGAACAUCCACCCGGCGAAGAAGUAGAAGAGCCCGAACUUGAGCGAGCACAGCAUGCUGAGGAAGGGGAUCAGCGCUGCCACCGUCAGCUGCGGCCGGUACCUGCGCUCCAGGAUGUUGCGCCACGGGUGCUCGAUGGCGUUCGCCUCCUCGCUCGCCGCCACCAUGUCGUCGUACUCGUCCUGCACGUCGUCCGUGCCGCGGAUCUUCACCAGCACCGCCUUGGCGUCGUCGUUGAACCCGCGGGCGAUAAGGGAGUUGGGCGUGUCGGGGAGCACCAGCGCGCCCAGGGUGAUGAUGAGCGCCGGCACGCCCGCGAGCCCCAGCCCGAUGCGCCAGCCCCACCCGCCCUCGAUGCCCGCCGUCCAGAAGUUGAUCAGGUUCGCCGCCAGGAUGCCGAUGGUGGUCAUCAGCUGGAACCCGAUGUUGAGCAUGCCGCGCAGCUUCGCCGGCGCCAUCUCCGACAGGUACAGCGGCACCGACUGGUUGGCGAAGCCGACGCCCACGCCCAGCAGGAUGCGGCCCAUGAUGAGCAUCAUCACGUCGGUGGCGGCGCCGUUCAGCGCCGACCCGGCCAGGAAGGUCACCCCGCCGCAGAACAUGGACCACUUGCGCCCGAACACCCGCGUCACGGACGCCGCCACGAACGACGUCGCCAGCGCCGCCAGGUACAGCGACGACGUGAACAGCGUCAGCAGCUGGCUGUCGAACUUGCAGUACUGGUUCGUGUCCUUGUUCGCCGCCGCCUUGGCGUACACGGAGGGGAAGAACUCCUUGAGGAACGACGCCAUGGACGUGACACCGCCGGAGAUGCCGAUGUCGUACCCGAAGAUGAGGCCGCCCGAUGACGCCACCAGGCAGGUGAAGAACACGAACGGCGUCAUGCGGCCGGGGUACGUCUUGCCCCCGGCCGCGUUCACCACCACGCCGCCUGCCAUUGCCGCGGGCGCGGGCGGACAGCUGGGGCAAUGGCAACGCGAGAAACAACACGAGACGACGAGGAACGGAAGGAGGUCGAGGUGGCCUGCAGGUCCCU